AAGCUCGGNCCUUAGGGAAAGAGCGCAUUUAUUAGACCAAAACCAAUCAAGCNUCGGCUUGUGUUUUGGUGACUCUGAAUAACUAAGUUGAUCGCACAGUCUUAGUACUGGCGACGUAUCUUUCAAAUGUCUGCCUUAUCAACUUUCGAUGGUAGGUUAUACGCCUACCAUGGUUAUAACGGGUAACGGAGAAUAAGGGUUCGACUCCGGAGAGGGAGCCUGAGAAAUGGCUACCACAUCCAAGGAAGGCAGCAGGCGCGCAAAUUACCCAAUCCCAGAACGGGGAGGUAGUGACGAAAAAUAACGAGACAGUCCACUAUGUGGCCUGUCAUCGGAAUGGGUACAAUUUAAAAACUU
RNAcentral lists this ribosomal RNA (357 nucleotides) under Anatonchus tridentatus. RNAcentral describes it as "SSU rRNA". It matches the Rfam family "Eukaryotic small subunit ribosomal RNA", at positions 174 to 534 of the family's 1831-position model. The record is from RNAcentral. Lineage: Eukaryota; Metazoa; Nematoda; Enoplea; Mononchida; Anatonchidae.